Molecule: long non-coding RNA, 3135 nt
Filed under: Nicotiana benthamiana
Lineage: Eukaryota; Viridiplantae; Streptophyta; Magnoliopsida; Solanales; Solanaceae
Description: long non-coding RNA (NBEN_LNC008736)
Source: RNAcentral
AACGAACCAAGCUGCCGAUCGUCCUCAUCAGCGAGACAAUUAGCACCCCACUGCCCCGUCUCCGACCAGUAUUGCCGAUAACAGCCAUAACCACCCAACAGUCAGCCUACGACCCAUCCAUCUCUAGCGCCGGUGAUAAUUUUCAGUCCAAAAAUGAGAGAAAUGGGAGGCUGAAAACAGUCCAAAAAUCAAAGGAAAACGGGGUCUUGUUUUUUGGCUUUUAACUUUUCAUUUUCUAAAUUUCAAUCUAGUCUAAAUUCAUUUUCGAGUUCAAACGCUGAGAUACGUAUUGAAACUGAGGCGUUGAUUUUAGUGGUUGUUUCCGAAAUGGGUUGGAGUUGAAACGAGUGUUCGAACAUUGGAGUUGUUGAGGUCCCGUCCGAACAGAUUCAUGGUUCUUGCUCGAGCUUCAAUUGUUGUGUUUGUUCGCGACUUUGUUAUCAUUCGUUCAAGCCGGAAAAGAAUUAAUUGAUACAAGUCAUCUUUUGAGGUUCAUUUCUAACUCGUGUGUCUUAAAUCUUUUCUUGUUUGUUAUUGUGUGAAUGAAUUGGCGCUACUUUCCUUGAAUACAUUCGUUUGGGAUAAAUUGUUGAAUUUGCAUGAAGUAGGUCGUGGGAUAUUGGAUUGAAACUAGAUAAUAAUUAGAAUUAUUAUGUUUAUUGCCUUCAUCACUUAUCUACCGCUAGUAACAUGUUUACGCCGGCAACACUCGAGUAGGCAAGCCUUAGGAUUUUGUUAGUUUGAAGGUGACAGGUUGUCCCUUAAUUAAAUUUAUCUGGGGAAUGCCCCGUGAAGUUUGUAUAUAUUAUUAUCCGAGGUAUGCCCUGAAGUAUUUGCAAUUGGAGGCGGAAAGUAGAACUCUUAGUAUUUUUUUUACUUUUUAUUUUUCUUUAGGUGGGGAUGACCUCGAGCCUCUUGUGUGUUUAUUUUCCUUUUCUAUGUUUUCUACCUCAAUCGAAUAUUUUAAUAGUCAACUUGAUCAUGUACGCAACCAUUAACUUCACGGGACUUGGGGAGUGCCUAACGCCUUCUCCCCGAGUCAAAUGAACCCCCUUAUCUGAAUACUUGAUCAUGUACGCAACUGUGAACUUCACAGGACUUGGGGAAUGCCUAACACCUUCUCCCCGAGUCAAAUGAACCCCCUUACCUGAAUCUCUAGUGCGGACUUGGUUUUAGAGUCUGAAAAAUUUUAAAUAGAAAAAUAAAUAUUAAAAAAAAAAGGUAGCCUGGCAUACCAAAAUCAAAUGCCAGGUGGCGACUCCAAGUUAUUUUCCUUUUGAAACAAAUUUUGUCACUUUCAAGAUUGAAAACCCUUUUCAAGCCUUUACCAAAAAAAAUUAUUAAUUUAAGAGGGAUUAGUGAGGCUUGUUUAAAAAAAGGGUAUGACAUCUCUGGCGACUCUGCUGGGGAGUUGCGAGUUCGAGCUAGUACUUGAUUUUGUUGGCUCUUUAGGAUAUUCGGUUGAGGUUUUUAUGUGUUUGUUGGCUUUAUUUGAUUUUUAUUUUGCUUAUGUCAUUUUAUUAUUUGCUAGUUGCUUAUUUGUUUACAAUUUUUCCUUUCUGUGUUUACUGCUUUAUAACUGUCAUCAUAUGCAUUACCUGGUCAAUUCUUUCUGCAACAAGUCUCGGAGCACGCGCCGCGUGCACGAACUCUUCGUUGAGUCACCGGGGCCCGUUGGACAUAUGGAGUGGGUGGAAAGCUUGAGCAUCUACUAUGGACCUUACGCUCCCCCGAAUUGCCUUGUUAGUGAACCCCAAACUUAGGUCAGCCUUUAGAUCAUUUUUAUUUGCAUCAUGUCAUUUAGACCUAGCAGGGCUCGGUCCCAGGCACCGUGUCCAUUUGUAAGGAGCCUGUCCAAAUUUUAUCAAAAUGAACAUGUGGCCCAAAAUGACAUUUAAUCAUCCUAUGUGCUAAAUGUUGCAUAUUUAAGGGUAAAAAGGUCAUUCGACGGACCGAUAUUUGGAAAGAAGGGUGAAAUAUGAAGAAAGUAUGGCCCACCCGCAUUUUUCUUUCAUGGUUUUCAAAAAAUCAAAAAAAAGUUAAAAAAAAAAUCCAAAGAGAUUUUACACUUUCCCAUAAUUUUUUAAAAAUCCAAAAAAAAAAUAUUUCCAAAAAGAUUUUACACUUUUCCAUUAUUUUCUAAAAAUCCAAAAAAAUGAAAAAGAAAAUCCAAAAAUAUUUUACAUUUUCCAUCAUAUUCUAAAAAUUCAAAAAAAAUGCAAAAGAAACUCCAAAAAUAUUUUUCAUUUUCCAUCAUUUUUCAAAAAGACAAAAAUAUAUUACUUUUUUUUUUCGAAUUAGUUGCAUCUUCCCAAACUACGCGAACUUGAUUCUCGUCCUUUCGGGGUGAGUACGUAGGCAACCCACAUAGGGUCCGGUCUUCCUAGUGAGUCUUAGGUUAUUGGCUUUGUGGUGUCUUAGCCAAAUCUUGCAUGUUUAGCCACUUUUGUCCACAUCGGCUAUUCUUGUUAAAUGCGGUCAUUUUUGCAAAAAGUGGUUCAAUUACCCAUGUCUUAGAAUUUUUAGUCCGCAACUUGGUGUCAUAUUACUUUAAGGUCCGUCCUUUUGAGUUUGCAUCUUUAGCAAAUUUCGGCCACAUAGGUUAUUUUUGCAAAAUGAGCUAUUUCUGCAAAUUAAUUUUGGGCCAUGAUUAUUGUGUAUUUGAAUCCAUAUAAGCCUUAGUGUGGUAUUAUCAUGUCUUUGAUGUCACAUUUGUUGAGUUUGCACUAAUAGCCAUCCUUGGCCACAUAUGUUAAUUUUGCAAAAGUAGCCCAUCACGUCUUGCAUGUGUUCAAUAGAAGGUGUCGUGACGUCACAUGUAUCUUGAGUUGCUAACUCUUUUUAAUCUUAUUUUUCUUCCUUGCAUGUGUGCAAUAGAAGGUGUCGUGGCGUCACAUGUGUUUUGAGUUGCUAACGCUUUUUGAUAUUAUUUUUCCCAUUCAGGUAUGGAGAAAUUUGCUAGAGUUUGAACAUGACAACCACAGGGCCACUACAUUUAGGAGCUGCUUAUAGAUAUUUUUGUGUUUGAGUCUAUCAUUCAUGUUGUCUUUUACUUUCUAGUCUUGUACAGUAAUAUAGAGUCUUUUGCUAUAUUAUUUCCAAUUUUGUAUUUGAAAAACAAAAAAAUUAUUAUUA